RNAcentral lists this ribosomal RNA (429 nucleotides) under Acidobacteriota bacterium. RNAcentral describes it as "Acidobacteria bacterium partial 16S ribosomal RNA". It matches the Rfam family "Bacterial small subunit ribosomal RNA", at positions 355 to 776 of the family's 1533-position model. Lineage: Bacteria; Pseudomonadati; Acidobacteriota. The record is from RNAcentral.
UGGGGAAUUUUGGACAAUGGGGGAAACCCUGAUCCAGCCAUCCCGCGUGUGCGAUGAACGCCUUCGGGUUGUAAAGCACUUUUGGCAGGAAAGAAACGUCAUGGGUUAAUACCCCGUGAAACUGACGGUACCUGCAGAAUAAGCACCGGCUAACUACGUGCCAGCAGCCGCGGUAAUACGUAGGGUGCAAGCGUUAAUCGGAAUUACUGGGCGUAAAGCGUGCGCAGGCGGUUCGGAAAGAAAGAUGUGAAAUCCCAGAGCUCAACUUUGGAACUGCAUUUUUAACUACCGGGCUAGAGUGUGUCAGAGGGAGGUGGAAUUCCGCGUGUAGCAGUGAAAUGCGUAGAUAUGCGGAGGAACACCGAUGGCGAAGGCAGCCUCCUGGGAUAACACUGACGCUCAUGCACGAAAGCGUGGGGAGCAAACAGG